CCUACGGGAGGCAGCAGUGGGGAAUCUUGCGCAAUGGGCGAAAGCCUGACGCAGCAACGCCGCGUGCGGGAAGAAGGCUUUCGGGCUGUAAACCGCUUUCAGCAGGAACGAAAAUGACGGUACCUGCAGAAGAAGGAGCGGCCAACUAUGUGCCAGCAGCCGCGGUGAUACAUAGGCUUCAAGCGUUGUCCGGAUUUAUUGGGCGUAAAGAGUUCGUAGGCGGUCGAGUAAGUCGGGUGUGAAAAUUCUGGGCUCAACCCAGAGACGCCACCCGAUACUGCUUGACUUGAGUUCGAUAGGGAGUGGGGAAGUUCCUAGUGUAGCGGUGAAAUGCGCAGAUAUUAGGAGGAACACCGGUGGCGAAGGCGCCACUCUGGAUCGAUACUGACGCUGAGGAACGAAAGCAUGGGUAGCAAACAGGAUUAGAUACCCUGGUAGUCCAUGCCGUAAACGGUGGGCACUAAGGUGUGGGUUUCUAUUAACGAAAUCCGCGCCGUCGCUAACGCAUUAAGUGCCCCGCCUGGGGAGUACGGUCGCAAGACUAAAACUUAAAUGAAUUGACGG
Molecule: ribosomal RNA, 564 nt
Filed under: uncultured bacterium
Lineage: Bacteria
Description: bacterial SSU rRNA
Rfam family: Bacterial small subunit ribosomal RNA
Source: RNAcentral